GAUGAACGCUGGCGGCGUGCCUAAUACAUGCAAGUCGAGCGAACAGACGAGGAGCUUGCUCCUCUGACGUUAGCGGCGGACGGGUGAGUAACACGUGGAUAACCUACCUAUAAGACUGGGAUAACUUCGGGAAACCGGAGCUAAUACCGGAUAAUAUAUUGAACCGCAUGGUUCAAUAGUGAAAGACGGUUUUGCUGUCACUUAUAGAUGGAUCCGCGCCGCAUUAGCUAGUUGGUAAGGUAACGGCUUACCAAGGCAACGAUGCGUAGCCGACCUGAGAGGGUGAUCGGCCACACUGGAACUGAGACACGGUCCAGACUCCUACGGGAGGCAGCAGGAGGGAAUCUUCCGCAAUGGGCGAAAGCCUGACGGAGCAACGCCGCGUGAGUGAGGAAGGUCUUCGGAUCGUAAAACUCUGUUAUUAGGGAAGAACAAAUGUGUAAGUAACUAUGCACGUCUUGACGGUACCUAAUCAGAAAGCCACGGCUAACUACGU
This 496-nucleotide ribosomal RNA is filed under the name uncultured bacterium. Its description in RNAcentral is "partial 16S ribosomal RNA". It matches the Rfam family "Bacterial small subunit ribosomal RNA", at positions 28 to 506 of the family's 1533-position model. The record is from RNAcentral.